Molecule: ribosomal RNA, 484 nt
Filed under: uncultured bacterium
Lineage: Bacteria
Description: partial 16S ribosomal RNA
Rfam family: Bacterial small subunit ribosomal RNA
Source: RNAcentral
AUUGAACGCUGGCGGCAUGCUUUACACAUGCAAGUCGAACGGCAGCGCGGGCUUCGGCCUGGCGGCGAGUGGCGAACGGGUGAGUAAUGCAUCGGAACGUGCCCAGUAGUGGGGGAUAGCCCGUCGAAAGCCGGAUUAAUACCGCAUACGACCUGAGGGUGAAAGCGGGGGACCGAAAGGCCUCGCGCUCUUGGAGCGGCCGACGUCGGAUUAGCUAGUUGGUGGGGUAAAGGCUUACCAAGGCGACGAUCCGUAGCUGGUCUGAGAGGACGACCAGCCACACUGGGACUGAAACACGGCCCAGACUCCUACGGGAGGCAGCAGUGGGGAAUUUUGGACAAUGGGGGCAACCCUGAUCCAGCCAUGCCGCGUGCGGGAAGAAGGCCUUCGGGUUGUAAACCGCUUUUGUUCGGGAAGAAAUCCUCUGGGCUAAUACCCCGGGGGGAUGACGGUACCGGAAGAAUAAGCACCGGCUAACUACGUG